This 173-nucleotide ribosomal RNA is filed under the name uncultured bacterium. RNAcentral's name for it is "partial 16S ribosomal RNA". It matches the Rfam family "Bacterial small subunit ribosomal RNA", at positions 1320 to 1500 of the family's 1533-position model. The record is from RNAcentral.
GUGAAGCUGGAUUCGCCAGUAAUCGCGCAUCAGCCAUGGCGCGGUGAAUACGUUCCCGGGCCUUGUACACACCGCCCGUCAAGCCAUGGAAGCCGGGAGUGCCUGAAGUAUGCAACCGCAAGGAGCGUCCUAAGGUAAAACCGGUGACUGGGGCUAAGUCGUAACAAGGUAUC